AACGAACGCUGGCGGCAUGCCUAAUACAUGCAAGUUGAACGCGGCCUUUGGGUCCAGUGGCGAACGGGUUGGUCACCCGUCGGAUGCUGCCCUCAUGGUGGGUCUACCUUCCCGCGAGGGGCGCCAAUACCGGACAAUGUCUUAGGACCAAUGAAUUAUCGCCUCAGGAUGGUUCCGUGUUGGAUUAGCUAGUUGGUCAGGUAAAAGCCUACCAAGGCGACGUUCCAUAGCUGGUGUGAGAGGAUGAUCAGCCACACUGGGACCGAGACACGGCCCAGACUCCUACGGGAGGCAGCAGUGGUGAAUAUUGGACAAUGGGCGAAAGCCUGAUCCAGCAAUGCCGCGUGAGUGAUGAAGGCCUUAGGGUUGUAAAGCUCUUUUACCCGGGAUGAUAAUGACAGUACCGGGAGAAUAAGCUCCGGCUAACUCCGUG
RNAcentral lists this ribosomal RNA (433 nucleotides) under uncultured bacterium. RNAcentral's name for it is "partial 16S ribosomal RNA". It matches the Rfam family "Bacterial small subunit ribosomal RNA", at positions 29 to 507 of the family's 1533-position model. The record is from RNAcentral.